Molecule: ribosomal RNA, 255 nt
Filed under: uncultured bacterium
Lineage: Bacteria
Description: partial 16S ribosomal RNA
Rfam family: Bacterial small subunit ribosomal RNA
Source: RNAcentral
UACGUAGGGUGCGAGCGUUAAUCGGAAUUACUGGGCGUAAAGCGUGCGCAGGCGGCUUCGCAAGUCAGGCGUGAAAUCCCCGGGCUUAACCUGGGAAUGGCGUCUGAAACUACGGAGCUGGAGUGUGGCAGAGGGAGGUAGAAUUCCACGUGUAGCGGUGAAAUGCGUAGAUAUGUGGAGGAAUACCGAUGGCGAAGGCAGCCGUCCUGGGCCGAACACUGACGCUCAUGCACGAAAGCGUGGGGAGCAAACAGG